GUCUAAAUCGACGAAGGGUUUAAGUAUAGUGUAAUCUAAAGAUGGGUGAGAAGGAAGAGGCGGAACCAGCGCCAUUAGUCAGAAAAGGAAAGGAUAAAAAAAGCCAAGUGAAAAGUAAAUCGGAGGGAAGCGAAAGAAAAGUUUCGUUGAAGAAGACGAAGAUAAAAUAGAAGAGACAAAAAGAAUGGGAAGCUUGGAGAAGAAGAAAGGCCGUCAUAUCGAACCAUCGCAUCGAAGCGAGUUCCGAGGUUGGCUAUAAUGAUGAAUAGGCGGCGGUAAUUAAGAUGACCUAGUUAAUGCCGCAUGUGAGACAAAAAUAAGGAUUGAGAUUGGGCCAUAAGAAAGAAAAUAAAUGACUAAGAUUGAACCGUACAGAGGGUCACGCCUCGGAUUACGUCAAGUACUUGUACAAAGAAUUUGAAUGUGAUUGGACCGAAAACGACGCCUCGGAUCGCGCUUGUUAUUGAAGUGAUGGCGGGAUUUCGACAGCAGAAAAAUGGACAGUUGAAAUGAAACUGUACCAGGAAGUUGAAAAAUAAUCACGCCUCAGGUCAUGCCAGUUACCGAAGUGUUACUUCAAAAGAUGUCGAGGGGGCAAUUGUUGAGCCAAUUAGGCGCGGACAGGUGGCAUGCUGGUAUUCCCUUCAAAAACAUUGAUUCGGUCGUGCACCAGGAGCACCGAAAAAGUUUAAAGGAAGCCAAAUCGUGCCAAUUGAAGGAAGUUACAGUAACUGCAAGCAGUUACAUACGGUUCCAAUCGGCUGGAGGUAGUCCGGGAUUUGAGGAGAUAAUGGUCGAUCGUGUAAGAGCAAUAACUGAUCAGGGGGCGAUCUAUAAAUAGGAUAAUAACGCCCUAAAAAAGGGUCCUUUUCCCUGUGAACAAAAGACCUCCCUUAUUUUACCGCAUCUUUCUUUCCUGCAUUUACCGCUUUUUCUAGGAGUAGCUUGGUAAUUUAGAAUCCUGGAGUCUGUCUGCCCCCGGGGCAUCGCUCCGUUGUA
RNAcentral lists this long non-coding RNA (999 nucleotides) under Ananas comosus (pineapple). RNAcentral's name for it is "long non-coding RNA (ACOM_LNC013261)". The record is from RNAcentral. Lineage: Eukaryota; Viridiplantae; Streptophyta; Magnoliopsida; Poales; Bromeliaceae.